GCGUAAAGCGCACGCAGGCGGUCUGUCAAGUCGGAUGUGAAAUCCCCGGGCUCAACCUGGGAACUGCAUUCGAAACUGGCAGGCUUGAGUCUUGUAGAGGGGGGUAGAAUUCCAGGUGUAGCGGUGAAAUGCGUAGAGAUCUGGAGGAAUACCGGUGGCGAAGGCGGCCCCCUGGACAAAGACUGACGCUCAGGUGCGAAAGCGUGGGGAGCAAACAGGAUUAGAUACCCUGGUAGUCCACGCCGUAAACGAUGUCUACUUGGAGGUUGUGCCCUUGAGGCGUGGCUUCCGGAGCUAACGCGUUAAGUAGACCGCCUGGGGAGUACGGCCGCAAGGUUAAAACUCAAAUGAAUUGACGGGGGCCCGCACAAGCGGUGGAGCAUGUGGUUUAAUUCGAUGCAACGCGAAGAACCUUACCUGGUCUUGACAUCCACGGAAGUUUUCAGAGAUGAGAAUGUGCCUUCGGGAACCGUGAGACAGGUGCUGCAUGGCUGUCGUCAGCUCGUGUUGUGAAAUGUUGGGUUAAGUCCCGCAACGAGCGCAACCCUUAUCCUUUGUUGCCAGCGAUUAGG
Molecule: ribosomal RNA, 572 nt
Filed under: Salmonella enterica subsp. enterica serovar Weybridge
Lineage: Bacteria; Pseudomonadati; Pseudomonadota; Gammaproteobacteria; Enterobacterales; Enterobacteriaceae
Description: bacterial SSU rRNA
Rfam family: Bacterial small subunit ribosomal RNA
Source: RNAcentral